Molecule: microRNA precursor, 248 nt
Filed under: Medicago truncatula (barrel medic)
Lineage: Eukaryota; Viridiplantae; Streptophyta; Magnoliopsida; Fabales; Fabaceae
Description: MIR2655 microRNA precursor family
Rfam family: MIR2655 microRNA precursor family
Source: Rfam by way of RNAcentral
CCCUUAACUGUUAAAAGUUUCGUUUUGGUCCUUUAACUUACUUUUUGGUUUCGUUUUGGUCCCUUAACUCUUCCUCCGUCAACCACUUUGGUCCUUUAUGUUAUGAUGAAUGUAUUAGAGUUAAGGGACCAAAACGAAACCAAAAAAUAAGUUAAGGGACCAAAACGAAACUUUUAAUAGUUAAGGGACCAAAACGAAACCAAAAAGUAAGUUAAAGGACCAAAACGAAACUUUUAAUAGUUAAGGAA